GACCGCUCCGGUGGUUAGAGCAUCCGCCUAGGAUGCGAGAGGUUGUGGGUUCGAUCCCUGGUUGGGUCA
This is a non-coding RNA of Potamilus streckersoni, 69 nucleotides long. The record is from the annotation of a GenBank genome assembly. Lineage: Eukaryota; Metazoa; Mollusca; Bivalvia; Unionida; Unionidae.